UUUCUUCUCACUUUUAAACAUUGUUCAUGCAUAUCUAGCACUUGUAAUCAAUCAAAUUCAUUGUAUUAUAACAUAUUCUACCCCAAAAUAACUUUAUACAAGCCAUUCACUGCCUCAAAGCUAUGGUUUUGGGUUCUUAUCCCAUUUUAGACCAAAUAUCAACAAGUCUUUCUUCUCACUUUUAAACAUUCUUCAUGCAUCUCUAGCACUUGUAAUCAAUCAAAUUCAUUGUAUUAUAACAUAUUCUAACACAAAAUAACUUUAUGCAAACCAUUCACUGCCACAAAGCAAUGGUUUUUGGUUAUUAUCCCAUUUGUGACCAAAUAUCAACAAGUCUUUCUUCUCACUUUUAAACAUUCUUCAUGCAUCUCUACCACUUGUAAUCAAUCAAAUUCAUUGUAUUAUAAUAUAUUCUAACCCAAAAUAACUUUAUACAAGCCAUUCACUGCCUCAAAGCAAUGGUUUUGGGUUCUUAUCCCAUUUGUGCCCAAAUAUCAACAAGUCUUUCUUCUCACUUUUAAAC
Molecule: long non-coding RNA, 523 nt
Filed under: Capsella rubella
Lineage: Eukaryota; Viridiplantae; Streptophyta; Magnoliopsida; Brassicales; Brassicaceae
Description: long non-coding RNA (CRUB_LNC000283)
Source: RNAcentral